GUAGGUGGCAAGCGUUGUCCGGAAUUAUUGGGCGUAAAGCGCGCGCAGGCGGUUCUUUAAGUCUGACGUGAAAGCCCACGGCUCAACCGUGGAGGGUCAUUGGAAACUGGAGAACUUGAGUACAGGAGAGGAAAGCGGAAUUCCACGUGUAGCGGUGAAAUGCGUAGAGAUGUGGAGGAACACCAGUGGCGAAGGCGGCUUUCUGGUCUGUAACUGACGCUGAGGCGCGAAAGCGUGGGGAGCAAACAGGGAUUAGAUACCCUGGUAGUCCACGCCGUAAACGAUGAGUGCUAAGUGUUAGGGGGUUUCCCGCCCCUUAGUGCUGCAGCUAACGCAUUAAGCACUCCGCCUGGGGAGUACGGCCGCAAGGCUG
Molecule: ribosomal RNA, 373 nt
Filed under: uncultured organism
Description: partial 16S ribosomal RNA
Rfam family: Bacterial small subunit ribosomal RNA
Source: RNAcentral